AGGUCCAGCCUGCCCAGUGACCACAAGUUUAACGGCCGCGGUAUCCUGACCGUGCAAAGGUAGCGCAAUCACUUGUCUUUUAAAUAGAGACCUGUAUGAAUGGCCAAACGAGGGCUUAACUGUCUCCCCUUUCAAGUCAGUGAAAUUGAUUUACCCGUGCAGAAGCGGGUAUAAUAAUACAAGACGAGAAGACCCUUUGGAGCUUAAGGUACAAAACUUAGCCCACGUAAAGCAAUUUAGUAAAAAACAAAAACUUUGUGGAACAUAAUAUUUUACCUUCGGUUGGGGCGACCACGGAGGAAAAUAAAGCCUCCAAGUGGAUUGGGAUUGAGCCUCCUAAAACUAAGAGAAACACCUCUAAGCCACAGAACAUCUGACCAAAAAUGAUCCGGCAACAAAGCCGAUCAACGAACCAAGUUACCCUAGGGAUAACAGCGCAAUCCUCUCCCAGAGUCCAUAUCGACGAGGGGGUUUACGACCUCGAUGUUGGAUCAGGACAUCCUAAUGGUGCAGCCGCUAUUAAGGGUUCGUUUGUUCAACGAUUAAAGUCCUACGUGAUCUGA
This 563-nucleotide ribosomal RNA is filed under the name Onychostoma brevibarba. RNAcentral's name for it is "partial 16S ribosomal RNA". It matches the Rfam family "Bacterial large subunit ribosomal RNA", at positions 1850 to 2608 of the family's 2925-position model. Lineage: Eukaryota; Metazoa; Chordata; Actinopteri; Cypriniformes; Cyprinidae. The record is from RNAcentral.